UGUAGUGUAGGGUUAUUGUUAUGUGUUUGGUUGGAGAUAACAUUGGUUCGUUGUGGUGCAAGAAGGUUCUCCAGUGAGUGAUUAGAGGAAGUGGCGGUGCAAGAAGAAGAGGGUGUAGUGGUGGGAAAGCUUCGUCUGGUGGUGGUUGAAGGUGGCCCGCGAGCUUCACAUGUUUUUUAAUAUAUAAGUCUAACACUCUAAUAGAUGUGAGCAUGCGCUGGAGUAUCAAACGAAUGUUAACGUCUGUAGACGGAUAUCGACAUUCGUUGAAGGAGAAAUAGAUGUGCCACAUCCGUUGAGGCCUGGGCAGUUAUCUUUUUCCUUUGCACAAAAAAAAAAAAAAAAACACAACCACCAUAGAAGAAAUGUCAAAAUACAACACACAUAUUAUAUUCCAGUAAAUUCAAAUGAAAUAAAUUUAGUUUAAACCAACCUCUCCUAGAUGAAACUGCAUAAUAGACGCACUGGAGCACCACCAAAACACCACUAACGAACCACCACAACACCACCACAGGACAACCAGACAAACAUCUCACC
RNAcentral lists this long non-coding RNA (537 nucleotides) under Vigna radiata. RNAcentral describes it as "long non-coding RNA (VRAD_LNC007354)". The record is from RNAcentral. Lineage: Eukaryota; Viridiplantae; Streptophyta; Magnoliopsida; Fabales; Fabaceae.